AAGGCGGGUGGGUUCCUCAAGGACCACUGCGGGGAGGGCGAGAUGGAGGUAGCGGGAGGCUGCUCCAAGAGGUACUGUUGCUGCGCCACCAUUGACGGUAGGUGUUCAUUUCACUCAUUUCCAGUGAUAUAUACUUUUUUUCUUGACUUACAACUGCUGCUAUUUUCCAAUUACGGAUUACAUAGUUUUUAUCAUGAAGUAAAAAGUUGCUUGUUAUUGCCACAGUGUGCCAAGCUCAGCCAGCGUGUGACGGCGGACGCGGCACCUGUCGAGCCACGUGCCUGGUCGCUGAGAAGGAAAAGCACGGCCUGUGUGGCUCGCACUGCAAGUGUUGCGUGGCCUCAUUCAACGGUAAGCAAAGUGGCGCUGUCUCUGAUGGUAACACACAUUAUCUUACUGUUACCUUUUAGUGUUGCGUUUCACUUUCAGUGAAUGUCUAAAGCAAAUUUCCGAAAUAAGCGACGGAUAAGUGUGUGUGUGUGUGUGUGUGUGUGUGUGUGUGUGCGUGUGUGUGUGUGUGUGUGUGUGUGUGUGUGUGCUUAGGACUAAGAAUAGAUGUCAACAAUAGAUGUCAAGAGAUCACAUUUCAUGAAUGCUAAAACUACAUGAUGCACGGGAGGCGUGAAAAGCUUAUCAGUGUCGCAAUCCAUCGCCAGAAUUCGAAGAGGUGAAACGAUGUCUACAGGCAGGAGGCUCCAUCAAGUCCAAGUGCACCUCCAGGGAGCGGGAGGUGGCUGAGGGCUGCUCGGCCUCCCACUUCUGCUGCUGUGCUCUGAAGGACGGUGAGUGUGAUGCUGCUUUGCCCAGCCUGAUAUCACCUCCAGAAUUAUUUUUCUUGCGGAAAAUAAAUCACCAGUAAGAUAGGGCCUAAGAAUAUUAGCGGGUGAUAUGACUGUUCAGGUGGGUUGCGAAAGUGUGGGAUAUAAGAUGGAUGCAAUUUGCAGGUGUUAAUUCAAAUUUUUUUUCUAGUUUGUGACGCACACGCAUCCUGUAACAACGGUAAGGGAACCUGCAGGGCGACGUGUAAGGACCACGAGAUGGAGACUGGCAGCACGUGCGGCGGCUAUUGCAGGUGUUGUGUGGAAGCCUUCGACGGUGAGACCCUGUUCUGUGUUUGCAUCGGAAGCAAAACUGAAAAUCCAUUACUGCUUGAAAUGCUCAUGCUGCUUCAGAAACUGUGGCGGUAAUCUUACUUUUAGGUAUUUGCUUUCCAGAAUGCCAACCGGAAACUGAUUGCAAGGCUGCUGGUGGGUUCUGCAGGGCGCACUGUCCGGUCGGCAGCAAGGUGAUCAGCGGCUGCCAUGGCAACAAGUGCAAGUGUUGUAUCACCUCCAAGAUCGGAAGCCUUUGUGAAGCCAACUUGGCGUGUGAUGGCGGCCGCGGUCACUGCAGGGACGCGUGCAACACCUGGGAGGAGGAGGUGCUAGGAAAGUGUGGUUCGUCCUGCAAGUGCUGCGCGCCCAAUAUUGAACGUAAGUGCAUACUCACACACACACACACACACACACACACACACACACACACACACACACAUACACACGCACAAACCAAGUGAUCCAGUAACUUCUUUUCCGUGAACAUUCCAAUGAAAAUCUAUGAAAAAAUGUAGAAAAGGCCACUUACGUCACACAAGACGGCUGGCUCCUGUGUACCUAAUCCACGCUUACGCAUUACAUUCAUUGGUGUCCACCCGUGCAGUUAUCCUGGACCUUGAGCAAUGUAAGGCGGACGGCGGAUCCUUCAAGGCGUCCUGCGGCAAGGGGGAAAAGGAAGUUGGGAGAGGCUGCACGUCGCCCGACUUCUGCUGCUGUGCCCCAGUUGACGGUGCGAUGAUUUGGCGGGUUUUCUUCCAUCAAUUCAGAGGGCAGAGGGAAUAUAAAACAAAGAGACUAAGGGAGACAUUCAAUGUUAGGAGGAGUGCAAGACGGGAGGAUUUAUUAUCAUGAUUAGUUUUAUUUACUCAUCUAUA
Scylla paramamosain (green mud crab) is the source of this 1969-nucleotide long non-coding RNA. RefSeq lists it as uncharacterized. The transcript is spliced from 2 exons. The record is from RefSeq and is a predicted model, not a curated record. NCBI's taxonomy places the organism in Eukaryota, Metazoa, Arthropoda, Malacostraca, Decapoda, Portunidae.